Lolium rigidum is the source of this 359-nucleotide long non-coding RNA. RefSeq lists it as uncharacterized. NCBI's taxonomy places the organism in Eukaryota, Viridiplantae, Streptophyta, Magnoliopsida, Poales, Poaceae. The record is from RefSeq and is a predicted model, not a curated record. The transcript has 3 exons.
GGCGCCAUGGCCGGAGGAAUCCCCCACCGCCGUCGCUCCAUCCCUCCCCCACCACCCUCUCCUCCGCAUCUCUAGCCGGCAAUAUCCGUGUGGAGCGGCAGGCCUCCGGUGAGAUCUGUCGGGAGACGCAUCCAUCCGUGGGGAGUAGCUGGACGAUGGCGAGGUCUGCACGUCACUGCCGUCUUCCAAGAAGAGCUCGCAGAAGAGGAGAAGAACUGAUGCUGCUGAAGGGCAGAUGAGAUGUGCUGCUGAUGGAAGGGUUUCGCCAUGGCCGGCAAGGGCAGCCUGGAGUGUCUCCAAAAUGAGUAUUACUAUGUGAUCUGCAAGGUUAGCUUGCAAUCUCGAUUUCAUUCGUUCUG